GAGUUUGAUCCUGGCUCAGGACUAACGCUGGCGGCGUGCCUAACACAUGCAAGUCGUGCGGGACACAGUGUAGCAAUAUGUUGUGUCUAGCGGCAGACGGGUGAGUAACGCGUAAACAACCUGCCCUGUCACUGGGGAUAAACUACCGAAAGGGAGUGUAAUACCGAAUGAGUCUCGAUGCCGGAGGGCAUUGAGAUAAAAGGCUGCAAGGCCGUGAUAGGAGGGGUUUGCGUCCCAUUAGCUAGUUGGUGGGGUAACGGCCUACCAAGGCGACGAUGGGUAGCUGGUCUGAGAGGAUGGUCAGCCACACUGGAACUGGGACACGGUCCAGACUCCUACGGGAGGCAGCAGUGAGGAAUAUUGCGCAAUGGCCGAAAGGCUGACGCAGCGACGCCGCGUGGGGGAUGACGGCCUUCGGGUUGUAAACCCCUGUCAGUGGGGAAGAAAAAAAUGACUGUACCCACAGAGGAAGCCCCGGCUAACUACGUGCCAGCAGCCGCGGUAAGACGUAGGGGGCGAGCGUUGUUCGGAAUUACUGGGCGUAAAGAGCUCGUAGGCUGGAAAUUAAGUCUUUGAAUAAAUCUCCCGGCUUAACCGGGAACAAUUUAGAGAUACUGAUUUUCUUGAGAACAGGAGAGGGGAAUGGAAUUCCUAGUGUAGCGGUGAAAUGCGUAGAUAUUAGGAGGAACACCAGUGGCGAAGGCGGUUCUCUGGCCUGUUUCUGACGCUGAGGAGCGAAAGCUGGGGGAGCGAACGGGAUUAGAUACCCCGGUAGUCCCAGCUGUAAACGAUGGAUACUAGGUGUAGGAGGUAUCGACCCCUUCUGUGCCGCAGUUAACACAAUAAGUAUCCCGCCUGGGGAGUACGGCCGCAAGGCUAAAACUCAAAGGAAUUGACGGGGGCCCGCACAAGCGGUGGAGCAUGUGGUUUAAUUCGACGCAACGCGAAGAACCUUACCUGGACUUGACAUCCC
Molecule: ribosomal RNA, 973 nt
Filed under: uncultured bacterium
Lineage: Bacteria
Description: bacterial SSU rRNA
Rfam family: Bacterial small subunit ribosomal RNA
Source: RNAcentral